GAUGAACGCUGGCGGCGUGCUUAACACAUGCAAGUCGAACGGUGAACACGGAGCUUGCUCUGUGGGAUCAGUGGCGAACGGGUGAGUAACACGUGAGCAACCUGCCCCUGACUCUGGGAUAAGCGCUGGAAACGGCGUCUAAUACUGGAUACGAGUAGCGGCCGCAUGGUCAGUUACUGGAGAGAUUUUUUGGUUGGGGAUGGGCUCGCGGCCUAUCAGCUUGUUGGUGAGGUAAUGGCUCACCAAGGCGUCGACGGGUAGCCGGCCUGAGAGGGUGACCGGCCACACUGGGACUGAGACACGGCCCAGACUGCUACGGGAGGCAGCAGUGGGGAAUAUUGCACAAUGGGCGAAAGCCUGAUGCAGCAACGCCGCGUGAGGGAUGACGGCCUUCGGGUUGUAAACCUCUUUUAGCAGGGAAGAAGCGAAAGUGACGGUACCUGCAGAAAAAGCGCCGGCUAACUACGUGCCAGCAGCCGCGGUAA
Molecule: ribosomal RNA, 485 nt
Filed under: uncultured bacterium
Lineage: Bacteria
Description: partial 16S ribosomal RNA
Rfam family: Bacterial small subunit ribosomal RNA
Source: RNAcentral